GCUUGGUUAAGCAAGACAUAUACUAAAAUUAGAAUGAUACAGGGAAGAUGAGCAUGGCCUCUGAAAAAAAGUGAUGUAGAAAACAAAAUAAACAUUAUGUACUU
Molecule: small nuclear RNA, 104 nt
Organism: Callithrix jacchus (white-tufted-ear marmoset)
Lineage: Eukaryota; Metazoa; Chordata; Mammalia; Primates; Cebidae
Source: Ensembl